UCAGAAGGCCGGCUCCAGAGGCACGUUAUCCUCCAUUUGGGACAUUUGUGCCAUCGCCAAAAUAACAGCCUAUUUCAUCAUCUACCUGAGGGAAAAGGAAGGAAAAAGGAUUUGGAUGGGGAUAGGGACAGGUAGGGAAAUAGGAAAAAUAUCCUGGAAGAGGGUACUAACGCACAAGCGUACCACAAUGGGUUCAAACAGCGCCCUGAAAAGGGCACUGUAAUAACGCAUAAAGCGAAAGAGAGCCUAUAACUUUUUACCACAGCGGGUUAAGAACAACAGAAUAUCCUGAAGAAAUUGCCAGAAGUGCUAAGUGCAGAGAGUCAUGCCACCAUACCAUCAGCGACAUCUGUUUAAACAAUAUAAUCACGCCCCUUUUCAAAAAUGCUUUGAAAUAUACUUCAACAUCUAUACCCAUUUCAAUAUUUUUAUCGUUGCAAAACACGCUUUCACCAUUCAUCUUGAAGAAGAGGGAAAACACUUGUCCUCAAAUGUAACAGCAAAUUAAUGAAUAAACGAUCAAUGCGCGGAGGGCGUGAUAAAAUCGGAACAUUACUGUACAUAUAAUAUACAUAAUACAUAAUAAAAACAGCUUGUUCUACUCACGCAAGGCCAUUAACAAUAAAAUCAGCAUCAAACUGCGAUUUCCGGCCGAAAUAAUUUACACUAAAAAAAAAUUAUUACUAAAUGUGAAAAUUGUGAAAUGUUUGAAUUGUCAAAACUUUUUUGUUUAUUAGUUUAUUAUCACCAAAUUUUUAUGGUAGAUUGCUAAUCUGCCGUAAUUCUGCAAAGUGACGUAAGCGACAUUAAUAGUUUUGGCCCAUUUUUUGGUUAUUAUGCAUAAAACUCUUGCUCAUCCUUUAAGUUUCUUUCCAAAUAUGAUAGAUUACGAUUAGAUCUUGCAUUCUAAUACAGCAGGAAUACCACAGUGUUAUUCUCACCCCAGAUAUUAUAAAUAAUAUACCAAAAAAUAUCGAAAUUUUGAAUGGCGCUUACGUCACUUUUCAGAAUUACUGCAGUAGUACAAUGGACCGGUUUCCUUAAAAAAUUACGUUGGUAAAAAGAUAGGGUUUUGAGAUAUUUGAGUUUUUGUGACAAAAAUGAUAUUUUUUAAUGUUAAAAAAAUAUUUUUUUUCACAGUGUACAUUUUCUUAGAAAUCACCAUUUAGUUAUCUAACUUUGCUGAACAAUAAAAUCAGCAUCAAACUGCGAUUUCUGACCGAAAUAAUUUACACAGAAAAAAAUAUUUACCAAAUGUGAAAAUAGUGAAAUGUUUGAAAUGUUAUAACUUUUUUGUUUAUUAGUUUACCAUCACCAAAUUUUUAUGGUAGAUUGCUAAUACAAUGGACCGUCUUUCCCAAAAAAAAUACGAUGGUAAAAAGAUAGGGUUUUGAGAUAUUUGAGUUUUUGUGACAAAAAUGAUAUUUUUUAAUAUUAAAAAAGAUGUUUUUUCACAGUGUAUAUUUUCUUAGGAAAUACCAUUUAGUUAUCUAACUUUGCUGAAAAAUUCAUAGCAAUCGAACGAACCAUUUUGGCUGUACAGAUUUUUGAAUAUUUUUGAACCAUUUUCACAUACACCCUUUUAAAAAGUUAGUCGUGAUUCAAAAUAAAAAUUUGAUAUCGAAAAAUGGCGAUUGAAAUGGAACUGAAAAACUGUGCAAAGUUUCAGUUCAAUAGAAAAUCAUGAAUUAAAAAAUUUCCUCAAUUUUGAUGCUGUUGCUUGGAAUCGCUCAAA
Long non-coding RNA from Aedes albopictus (Asian tiger mosquito), 1735 nucleotides. RefSeq lists it as uncharacterized. The record is from RefSeq and is a predicted model, not a curated record. The transcript is spliced from 2 exons. NCBI's taxonomy places the organism in Eukaryota, Metazoa, Arthropoda, Insecta, Diptera, Culicidae.